UACGAAGGUGGCAAGCGUUGUUCGGAUUUACUGGGCGUACAGGGAGCGUAGGCGGUUGGGUAAGCCCUCCGUGAAAUCUCCGGACCUAACCCGGAAAGUGCGGAGAAGACUGCUCGGCUAGAGGAUGGGAGAAGAGCGCGGAAUUCCCGGUGUAGCGGUGAAAUGCGUAGAGAUCGGGAGGAAGGCCGGUGGCGAAGGCGGCGCUCUGGAACAUUUCUGACGCUGAGGCUCGAAAGCGUGGGGAGCAAAC
This 250-nucleotide ribosomal RNA is filed under the name uncultured bacterium. RNAcentral's name for it is "partial 16S ribosomal RNA". It matches the Rfam family "Bacterial small subunit ribosomal RNA", at positions 524 to 773 of the family's 1533-position model. The record is from RNAcentral.